AUGUAUGUACCUCCACAUCGUUUGCUUAGACCACGCCGUACAAGAUGGACUACUAGAAGGUGGUGGUUCCCACUGAGGAUAGGAGGAUGACUGAAUUCAAAACCAGCAUCGAACUGCUUGUGCGAAGAAGAUUUUCAAGAGUUUUCUGAAUAAAGCUGUUUCAAUAAGAC
This is a long non-coding RNA of Rhipicephalus microplus (southern cattle tick), 170 nucleotides long. RefSeq lists it as uncharacterized. Lineage: Eukaryota; Metazoa; Arthropoda; Arachnida; Ixodida; Ixodidae. The record is from RefSeq and is a predicted model, not a curated record.